This is a long non-coding RNA of Mus musculus (house mouse), 1959 nucleotides long. RefSeq annotates it as predicted gene 28166. NCBI's taxonomy places the organism in Eukaryota, Metazoa, Chordata, Mammalia, Rodentia, Muridae. The transcript is spliced from 3 exons. The record is from RefSeq and is a predicted model, not a curated record.
GAACCAAUGAAAAUUAUCAGUACAGAUAUUACUGUCCGUCGUUAUAUUGUACAGCAUCAGUUUUAAAUGAAAGUUUUGACAUUUAGAUGUAUGCAAAAUCACCAAAAUUACCCAUGUUAUAUGAGUGUGUGCGUGCGCGCGCGCGCACCACAGCACACUUGUAGAGAUCAGAAGACAAGUUGUGGAAGUCGGUUCUCUUCUUCAGCCAUGUAUCAAGAAUGGUGACCACCGAGCAUCAAAGACCAGUUAAGAGAAGAACCCUCUGGCCUGCAUGGUGGAAGCCAUCAGGAUUCUCACUCCCUCAGGCCACACCUCUAUUCCACGGUCCUAUUGCUGCAUUUUCCAGCUGCAUUCUGGGAAAGCCCUGCUGCUGUAAUCUGGGGCUUUACCUGACCCGGUUGUCCAGUCCCUCAUCCCCAGCCUCCUGCCUGCCUCAGGGAAGCCCCAAGAGAGAGCAACAGCAGCACUCAGGGUCUGCAGUGAGGUGGAAGUCCCUGGCUGUGUCAUGCGAUGCAGACUCACGUGGUGUUUUGCUGAGUUCUGCAGAGACCUGGCUGUUUCUGCUGGAUCGCACAACCACUGUUGAUUCCUGUUCGGUAUCCUGACACUACUGAAGUGGACUCCUGGUCUCCUGGCAAAUGAAGAUGAGAACUGGCCCAAAGAACUACUUCUAAACAGGCCCACAUCCCCUCGUCCUAUUUACCAUCUUUUCUCCCCUGCCUUUGGUUGGUGGACUAGAAGGGUGGUUGAAGCAUUUAAGAACCCUUAUUAAAGUAGAUUUUGAAGACUCUAAGCCUGCACUCCCCACUUUAUUUACUGAGGUAGAAUCUCCUAGUUGAACCCAAAGCUCACCUAUGCAGCUAGUCUAGCUGACCAUCUAGCUUGACCAUCUGCUGUCCCUGCCUUCUGGGAGAUGGAACUGCAGGCUUGUCACCACCAUCACGCAGCGUGUACAGGAGUUCUGGAGAUCCCCGGUCCACUCCACACACUUGUGUAACAACUGCUCCACCCACUGAGCCAUCUCCUCAACAACAACAACAAAAAAAUCCAAGUUUGAAAGUUUUCAGAGCUCUUCACAGUGUGUGUGUGUGUGUGUGUGUGUGUGUGUGUGUGUGUGUGUGUGUGUACAAGCACACACCAUGACUAAAGCUGAACACUUAAAUAUUCUUGGAACUUAUGACACUCACUUGUCACCUUUGGGUUUAUUAUGAGAUUUGUGCUGUUACUCAGAAAGUAUCUUUGCUUUGAAUCAAUGUUGGGAAAAUGAGACACAGAUUCCAAACAAUUUUAUUUUUCAACAGCGGCUUAGCUGUGAACUUAAGAGCUGUGUGCAGAAACAAAUAGAGAAGCCUGGCCUGGAGCCAGGAGCCAGAAGCCAGGGCCCAUCAAACUCAGGUUCCACGCAUCAGUUUUACAGCCCUGAUCAAAGAGAUCUCAGUGUUCCAAGGAUCAAACCAAGGGCCUCACGUACACCCACACACAACCAUUGGGCUACAGCCCAGCCACAUAUUUCUGUUGCAAAGUCAGUCCACUUGUGUUCUCCUUGAGUGCUUCCUCUUCUGUUUUGUCUAGAGUCAGGGGGUGUUGGCCUCGUGAUGCCAACAUGAUCGGUAGCUCUUCCCUCCUUCUCUUCAGCAGCUCGGUACAGACAGUGUCUAUUUGUGUACCCUCUUAGACUCCUGACUUUCAAGUGUACCGAGCACUCACUGACAUGUCAUCUCAGCUCUGGCUGCAGGACCCUCGUGACACUGACUCCUUUUUCCUAAGGAUUUCACUCCUUCGUGUGAACCUCCAUGAGCGCCUGGCAUUUUUGUUCACUGGGCAGACAUUUACUUUGAGCCUUUAGCACAGGGUAGAAUCUGCAGGGGUUUUAAUGGGUGCGGGGGUGUUUGGUGGUUGUUGUUGUUUUCCCAAAUGGGAAUGAAUACAAGAGAACAAAAAGAGGGGGGAGUCACAGCA